AGAGUUUGAUCCUGGCUCAGGAUGAACGCUGGCGGCGUGCUUGAUCAAUGCGAGUCGUGCGCGUGCUCCCGUGCUUGCAUGGGAUGCCACGAGCGGCGUGCGGGUGCGUAUCACGUAGAUUACCUACCCUCGUGUGGGGAAUAACCUGGGGAAACUCGGGCUAAUACCGCAUAAUGCCUCCAGUCUUCCCGACUGGCGGUGAAAGCCUCACGGCGCGCAAGGAGGGGUCUGCGGUCUAUCAGCUCGUUGGUGAGGUAACGGCUCACCAAGACUUUGACGGAUAGCCGGUCUGAGAGGAUGGUCGGCCACACUGGGACUUAAACAUGGUCCAGAGCCCUACGGGGUUUAGCAUGAAGGAAUCUUGCGCAAUGGGCGAAAGCCUGACGCAGCGACGCCGCGUGGAGGAUGACGCCGUUCGCGGUGUAAACUCCUUUUCUCGGGGAAGAAGUAAGACGGUACCCAAGGAAUAAGCCCCGGCUAACUCCGUGCCAGCAGCCGCGGUAAUACGGAGGGGGCAAGCGUUAUCCGGAUUUACUGGGCGUAAA
RNAcentral lists this ribosomal RNA (545 nucleotides) under uncultured bacterium. RNAcentral describes it as "SSU rRNA". It matches the Rfam family "Bacterial small subunit ribosomal RNA", at positions 8 to 564 of the family's 1533-position model. The record is from RNAcentral.